Non-coding RNA from Crucibulum laeve, 100 nucleotides. NCBI's taxonomy places the organism in Eukaryota, Fungi, Basidiomycota, Agaricomycetes, Agaricales, Nidulariaceae. The record is from the annotation of a GenBank genome assembly.
GGUUCUAUAGUAUAGUGGCUAUCACUUGAGAUUCUGAUAUUCGUGCUUGCAACAAUUGGUCAAUAUUCUCAGAACCCCGGUUCAAUCCCGGGUAGGACCU